GCCUGGGUGGCUCAGUGGUUGAGCAUCUGAUUUUGGACUAGGUUGUGAUAUGGGUUCCUGAGAUCAAGUCCCAUAUCAGGCU
RNAcentral lists this transfer RNA (82 nucleotides) under Canis lupus familiaris (dog). It matches the Rfam family "tRNA". From Rfam's summary of the family: Transfer RNA (tRNA) molecules are approximately 80 nucleotides in length. Their secondary structure includes four short double-helical elements and three loops (D, anti-codon, and T loops). Further hydrogen bonds mediate the characteristic L-shaped molecular structure. tRNAs have two regions of fundamental functional importance: the anti-codon, which is responsible for specific mRNA codon recognition, and the 3' end, to which the tRNAs corresponding amino acid is attached (by aminoacyl-tRNA synthetases). tRNAs cope with the degeneracy of the genetic code in two manners: having more than one tRNA (with a specific anti-codon) for a particular amino acid; and 'wobble' base-pairing, i.e. permitting non-standard base-pairing at the 3rd anti-codon position. The record is from Rfam by way of RNAcentral. Lineage: Eukaryota; Metazoa; Chordata; Mammalia; Carnivora; Canidae. RNAcentral also lists the same sequence under 1 other name.